CCCUUAGAUGUUCUGGGCAGCACGCGCGGUACAAUGGUCUUCGCAAACGGAUGCAUUCUCGAAGGAGAAUGCCAAUCUUGGAAUCUAUGCCUUGGUCGGGACAGUUGCUUGCAAUUUUUCGACUCGAACCAGGAAUUCCUUGUAAUCGUGAUUCAUCACAUCACGAUGAAUACGUCCCUGCCCUUUGUACACACCGCCCGUCGCUCCUACCGAUCGAAGAGUUAGGUGAAUUGUUUUGAUCGAUAAGAUUUGACUAUGGUCAACUCUCGUUGUGAAAUUCUGUGAAUCUGACUGUUUAGAGGAAGGAAAAGUCGUAACA
RNAcentral lists this ribosomal RNA (319 nucleotides) under uncultured eukaryote. Its description in RNAcentral is "partial 18S ribosomal RNA". It matches the Rfam family "Eukaryotic small subunit ribosomal RNA", at positions 1470 to 1796 of the family's 1831-position model. The record is from RNAcentral.